RNAcentral lists this ribosomal RNA (496 nucleotides) under uncultured bacterium. Its description in RNAcentral is "partial 16S ribosomal RNA". It matches the Rfam family "Bacterial small subunit ribosomal RNA", at positions 28 to 507 of the family's 1533-position model. The record is from RNAcentral.
GAUGAACGCUGGCGGCGUGCCUAAUACAUGCAAGUCGAGCGAACAGACGAGGAGCUUGCUCCUCUGACGUUAGCGGCGGACGGGUGAGUAACACGUGGAUAACCUACCUAUAAGACUGGGAUAACUUCGGGAAACCGGAGCUAAUACCGGAUAAUAUAUUGAACCGCAUGGUUCAAUAGUGAAAGACGGUUUUGCUGUCACUUAUAGAUGGAUCCGCGCCGCAUUAGCUAGUUGGUAAGGUAACGGCUUACCAAGGCAACGAUGCGUAGCCGACCUGAGAGGGUGAUCGGCCACACUGGAACUGAGACACGGUCCAGACUCCUACAGGAGGCAGCAGUAGGGAAUCUUCCGCAAUGGCGAAAGCCUGACGGAGCAACGCCGCGUGAGUGAUGAAGGUCUUCGGAUCGUAAAACUCUGUUAUUAGGGAAGAACAAAUGUGUAAGUAACUAUGCACGUCUUGACGGUACCUAAUCAGAAAGCCACGGCUAACUACGUG